This 427-nucleotide ribosomal RNA is filed under the name uncultured bacterium. Its description in RNAcentral is "partial 16S ribosomal RNA". It matches the Rfam family "Bacterial small subunit ribosomal RNA", at positions 354 to 796 of the family's 1533-position model. The record is from RNAcentral.
GUAGGGAAUAUUGGACAAUGGGGGCAACCCUGAUCCAGCGACGCCGCGUGAGUGAUGAAGGCCUUCGGGUCGUAAAGCUCUGUUGCAGGGGAAGAACACAAUGACGGUACCCUGCUAGAAAGGAUCGGCUAACUUCGUGCCAGCAGCCGCGGUAAGACGAGGGAUCCUAGCGUUGUUCGGAAUUAUUGGGCGUAAAGCGGGUGCAGGUGGGUUGGUAAGUCAGAUGUGAAAGCCUGGGGCUUAACCACAGAAGUGCAUUUGAUACUGCUGAGCUUGAGUGCUGGAGAGGCUAUUAGAAUUCCUGGUGUAGUGGUGAAAUACGUAGAUAUCAGGAGGAAUACCGGAGGCGAAGGCGGAUAGCUGGCCAGACACUGACACUCAGACCCGAAAGCGUGGGGAUCAAACAGGAUUAGAUCCCGGGUAGUCC